GAUGAACGCUGGCGGCGUGCCUAAUACAUGCAAGUCGAGCGAACAGACGAGGGGCUUGCUCCUCUGACGUUAGCGGCGGACGGGUGAGUAACACGUGGGUAACCUACCUAUAAGACUGGGAUAACGUCGGGAAACCGGAGCUAAUACCGGAUAAUAUAUGGAACCGCAUGGUUCAAUAGUGAAAAACGGUUUUGCUGUCACUUAUAGAUGGAUCCGCGCCGCAUUAGCUAGUUGGUAAGUUAACGGCUUACCAAGUAGACGAUGCGUAGCCGACCUGAGAGGUGGAUCGGCCACCCUGGAACUGAGACACGGUCCAGACUCCUAAGGGAGGCAGCAGUAGGGAAUCUUCAGCAAUGGGCGAAAGCCUGACGGAGCAACGCCCCGUGAGUGAUGAAGGUCUUCGGAUCUUAAAACUCUGUUAUUAGGGACGAACAGUUGUGUAAGUAACUAUGCACGUCUUGACGGUACCUAAUCAGAAAGCCACGGCUAACUACGUG
This 497-nucleotide ribosomal RNA is filed under the name uncultured bacterium. Its description in RNAcentral is "partial 16S ribosomal RNA". It matches the Rfam family "Bacterial small subunit ribosomal RNA", at positions 28 to 507 of the family's 1533-position model. The record is from RNAcentral.